GGUGCCCCAGGAAAACUUGGGGGAGAAUGGGCAUCCCACCCCAGCACUUUCUAGGAAGGAGGGCAGCAUUUUGAAGGGCUGGAAGUAGAGGAAGGAGGUUGCGGGUAGAAGACUCCAUACUUUCUGUGAUGCCUAUUCCUUAGGAGAGCCUUUAUAUAACCAAAGAUAUUUUUGGACCAUGAAUUCGGAAAUUCUCGGAGCCACCCAUCAGUGCCUGAGCUUCAGUGAGUCCAUAUCCCAUGUCACCCACGGCAAAGGAGAAUCUAAGACUUCUGAAGAGUUUCUUGCUUCUUUCCUGUGGGGCAGUGACUCCACUUCCCAGCAGUAAUGGAAUAUCCUGAAUUAGCUACAUUAAUGUUAGAACCAUUUGGACCUCACCCAGGACUUCAACUACAUUAUGAGUAACUCCUGGACGAUUGGCACAGAAGGCACAAGGCAAAUACCUAUCUCUGUACACCCUGUGCUACUGUGUCAUGUGCUGCUCCAGGCAACUCCAAUGGAUUGGCCACCCUGGCCAAUGUGUUCUAGUAUGUUAGGUUUAUGUUCCCCUGCUUUCUACAAUCCUGUUCAAAGAGUUGCUGACUUAACCACAGAGAGGAUUCCAGAACAUGAGACACAGAAUAAACUUGAGCAAUCAUAGUCCAUCCACUUCAUUUUCUCAUCAAAAACCAAAGGUCCAGUGAAGCUCUGGAACUCAACGCUGUAAAGGAGCGAAGGAGCUUCUAUACAGAGCCUGGAUGCCUGUCUCCUUAUCCUAC
RNAcentral lists this non-coding RNA (758 nucleotides) under Pan troglodytes (chimpanzee). Lineage: Eukaryota; Metazoa; Chordata; Mammalia; Primates; Hominidae. The record is from RNAcentral.